RNAcentral lists this ribosomal RNA (496 nucleotides) under uncultured bacterium. RNAcentral's name for it is "partial 16S ribosomal RNA". It matches the Rfam family "Bacterial small subunit ribosomal RNA", at positions 29 to 507 of the family's 1533-position model. The record is from RNAcentral.
AUGAACGCUGGCGGCGUGCCUAAUACAUGCAAGUCGAGCGAACAGACGAGGAGCUUGCUCCUCUGACGUUAGCGGCGGACGGGUGAGUAACACGUGGAUAACCUACCUAUAAGACUGGGAUAACUUCGGGAAACCGGAGCUAAUACCGGAUAAUAUAUUGAACCGCAUGGUUCAAUAGUGAAAGACGGUUUUGCUGUCACUUAUAGAUGGAUCCGCGCCGCAUUAGCUAGUUGGUAAGGUAACGGCUUACCAAGGCGACGAUGCGUAGCCGACCUGAGAGGGUGAUCGGCGACACUGGAACUGAGACACGGUCCAGACUCCUACGGGAGGCAGAAGUAGGGAAUCUUCCGCAAUGGGCGAAAUCCUGACGGAGCAACGCCGCGUGAGUGAUGAAGGUCUUCGGAUCGUAAAACUCUGUUAUUAGGGAAGAACAAAUGUGUAAGUAACUAUGCACGUCUUGACGGUACCUAAUCAGAAAGCCACGGCUAACUACGUG